AUUUUAAAUUCCGUGAUAAAUAUUUUCUUGAUUUUAUUUUAAUAAUAAUAAUGACCACGCCUUAUUUAAUUAAAACACGGCAGAUUCAAUGUUUGAGACGGAAUCUUGUGUCAAGGGGCACCAUGUCUACAAAUCAGUGUGGACACCAGUGAUGGGGAAGAUCAUCAUCUUUGACCUAGGCAGUAUGCUUAAAAUAGCAAUACAGAGUAACAAAGACAUCAGCUUGACCCGAGGGGUCCGCAAUGGCUCUGAAAAGUGUACGGGAUUAUGCUGAUUAUAGGAUUAUAAUCAAGAUUACUGAGAUUAGAUGGAUUACGAUGGAUUACAAGAUUAUGAAGAAGAUUAUGAAGAUUAUCCUUGAGAUUAUCAGAUUAUUUGAAGGAUUAUGAGGAUUAUGAAGAUUACUGUAGGAUUAUUUUAGUUUUCAAUUUGAUUAUUAAAGGUGUGUUUUAGUCUAGCUUGGUGUACUUGUCUUGGGAUUUGCAGCACAGUGGGCCAUACCAUUCAUCCUCUGCUUUGAAAGUUGGAACACAAUCUUCAUGAUACCACACUUCACAGCCCUCACAUUGUACCAUUAUAUCACCAUUAUCUCCCUUUAAGCAUUGUGGGCAGCUGUAGACAUCAGUACACUUCCUUGAGGAUCGUCUUGUUAAGAGACAAGAGACCUGCGAGUCUUAGCAACUGGAAACGGUGUCAUUCUCUUUUGUUCCAAACAUUGUAAAAAGUGUUGUCGCAUCUCAUUUUGUUAGAAUAUUAUAGAUGAUGGAUCAACAUCAUAA
Amphimedon queenslandica is the source of this 779-nucleotide long non-coding RNA. RefSeq lists it as uncharacterized. The record is from RefSeq and is a predicted model, not a curated record. The transcript has 2 exons. NCBI's taxonomy places the organism in Eukaryota, Metazoa, Porifera, Demospongiae, Haplosclerida, Niphatidae.